This 501-nucleotide ribosomal RNA is filed under the name uncultured delta proteobacterium. Its description in RNAcentral is "bacterial SSU rRNA". It matches the Rfam family "Bacterial small subunit ribosomal RNA", at positions 57 to 529 of the family's 1533-position model. The record is from RNAcentral. Lineage: Bacteria; Deltaproteobacteria.
GCAGUCGCACGAAGAACGCUCCAGCUUGCUGGAGCUAGUAAAGUGGCGCACGGGUGUAGUAACGCGUGGGUAAUCUACCUCUGAAUUGGGGAUAACAUUGCGAAAGCGAUGCUAAUACCGGAUGAUAUCCUCUAAACUUCGGUUAUGAGGAUCAAAGGUGGCCUCUACAUGUAAGCUACUGUUUGGAGACGAGCCCGCGUACCAUUAGCUUGUUGGUAGGGUAAAAGCCUACCAAGGCCACGAUGGUUAGCUGGUCUGAGAGGAUGAUCAGCCACACUGGAACUGACACACGGUCCAGACUCCUACGGGAGGCAGCAGUGAGGAAUUUUGCGCAAUGGGGGAAACCCUGACGCAGCAACGCCGCGUGAGUGAUGAAGGCUUUCGGGUCGUAAAGCUCUGUCAAGUGGGAAGAAACCGCUCCGUGCAAAUAGUUCGGGGCGCUGACGGUACCACUGAAGGAAGCACCGGCUAACUCCGUGCCAGCAGCCGCGGUAAUACGGG